CACAGACAGCUAGGAGGUUGGCUUAGAAGCAGCCACCCUUUAAAGAAAGCGUAAUAGCUCACUAGUCGAGUCGGCCUGCGCGGAAGAUAUAACGGGGCUAAACUGAUAACCGAAGCUGUGGAUGCGCAUUUAUGCGCAUGGUAGAGGAGCGUUCUGUAAGCCGUUGAAGGUGAAUCGUAAGGUUUGCUGGAGGUAUCAGAAGUGCGAAUGCUGACAUGAGUAACGAUAAGGGGGGUGAAAAACCCCCCCGCCGAAAGAUCAAGGUUUCCUGUCCAACGUUAAUCGGGACAGGGUGAGUCGGCACCUAAGGCGAGGGCGAAGGCCGUAGUCGAUGGAAAAUCGGUUAAAAUUCCGAUACCGAUUCUUACUGCGAUGGAGGGACGGAGCAGGCUAGGCUAGCACGGCGUUGGUAGUCCGUGUUUAAGCGUGUAGGUAGGGGGAUUAGGUAAAUCCGGUUCCCUGUUGAUCUGAGACGUGAUGACGAUCUCUUGGGGCGACCCUUGAGAGAAGUAGUUGAUGCCAUACUUCCAGGAAAAUCUUCUAAGCUUCAGGUAAGAAUUGACCGUACUGUAAACCGACACAGGUGAUCAGGUAGAGAAUACCAAGGCGCUUGAGAGAACUUGGGUGAAGGAACUAGGCAAAAUGGCACCGUAACUUCGGGAGAAGGUGCGCCGGUGACGGUGAUGGACCUUGCGUCCUAAGCUGUUGCCGGUCGAAGUAACCAGGCCGCUGCGACUGUUUAUUAAAAACACAGCACUCUGCAAACUCGUAAGAGGACGUAUAGGGUGUGACGCCUGCCCGGUGCCGGAAGGUUAAUUGAUGGGGUUAUCUUCGGAGAAGCUCUUGAUCGAAGCCCCGGUAAACGGCGGCCGUAACAAUAACGGUCCUAAGG
RNAcentral lists this ribosomal RNA (892 nucleotides) under Ctenophora environmental sample. Its description in RNAcentral is "partial Bacterial large subunit ribosomal RNA". It matches the Rfam family "Bacterial large subunit ribosomal RNA", at positions 1084 to 1956 of the family's 2925-position model. The record is from RNAcentral. Lineage: Eukaryota; Metazoa; Ctenophora.